This is a long non-coding RNA of Saccostrea echinata, 662 nucleotides long. RefSeq lists it as uncharacterized. The transcript is spliced from 3 exons. Lineage: Eukaryota; Metazoa; Mollusca; Bivalvia; Ostreida; Ostreidae. The record is from RefSeq and is a predicted model, not a curated record.
AACUUCCUUUCCUUUGCUUCUCAGUUUUUAGCUCAACUCAACGAAAUUGGGGAACCUUAUGUGAUACCCUCAGCAUUGGUGUUGGUGUCCCAGGUUAAAGUUUUUGGAGCAGAGUUCUUUUUAACUAUGAAAAUGAAGAACUGGAGAGGAUCUUGAUUGAUUUUUCUUGAAUGAGACACAAGUGCCUUCCAUUUGUGAUACUAAAGGAAGCUGUUACAAAUUUAGUUUGCCACAGUACUGGCCUGACAUAUGAGGACAGGAAUAAAAGAUGUUUUAAAAUAGAAAUGUCUAUAAUUUAACUUAUAAGUAUGAUUAACUAAGAUCACAAACAACAAAUCAGUUGCAUUGCAAAUGUACAUAUAGCAUGUUUGCACUUACGAGGGAAUAUUCACUCCCUUUCAGUGAAAGUGUUGGCAUGCAGGUCAAUUAUUGUCACCAAAUCAUCUGUCAUAUUCUCUGCAUGCAGCUGUAGAAUUUGAUCAGAAAGAUUAGCUACACUAUUCUAUGUAUAAGUCUUAUGUAUAAAUCUAAGACAUUUUGGUUUCUAGUCACCAGUCUAUAUUUAUAAUCAUUGUAGUGUAAAAAAAUUCUGGUCCAUAAGUCGAUUGAGACUUUAUGUUUUAGUGAAAUGUUUUGUUUAUUUAUUGCCAACUCACUGUAAA